RNAcentral lists this transfer RNA (75 nucleotides) under Campylobacter sp. RNAcentral's name for it is "tRNA-Met". It matches the Rfam family "tRNA". From Rfam's summary of the family: Transfer RNA (tRNA) molecules are approximately 80 nucleotides in length. Lineage: Bacteria; Pseudomonadati; Campylobacterota; Epsilonproteobacteria; Campylobacterales; Campylobacteraceae. The record is from RNAcentral. RNAcentral also lists the same sequence under 9 other names.
CGCGAGAUGGAGCAGUGGUAGCUCAUCGGGCUCAUAACCCGAGGGUCGGGGGUUCAAGUCCCUCUCUCGCAACCA